UCCUACGGGAGGCAGCAGUGGGGAAUAUUGGACAAUGGGCGCAAGCCUGAUCCAGCCAUGCCGCGUGAGUGAUGAAGGCCUUAGGGUUGUAAAGCUCUUUCACCCGGGAAGAUAAUGACGGUACCCGGAGAAGAAGCCCCGGCUAACUUCGUGCCAGCAGCCGCGGUAAUACGAAGGGGGCUAGCGUUGUUCGGAAUUACUGGGCGUAAAGCGCACGUAGGCGGAUUUUUAAGUCAGAGGUGAAAUCCCGGGGCUCAACCCCGGAACUGCCUUUGAUACUGCCAGUCUAGAGUCUGGGAGAGGUGAGUGGAAUUCCGAGUGUAGAGGUGAAAUUCGUAGAUAUUCGGAGGAACACCAGUGGCGAAGGCGGCUCACUGGACCAUUACUGACGCUGAGGUGCGAAA
RNAcentral lists this ribosomal RNA (404 nucleotides) under uncultured bacterium. RNAcentral's name for it is "bacterial SSU rRNA". It matches the Rfam family "Bacterial small subunit ribosomal RNA", at positions 337 to 758 of the family's 1533-position model. The record is from RNAcentral.